AUUGAACGCUGGCGGCAGGCCUAACACAUGCAAGUCGAGCGGUAACACAGGGAGCUUGCUCCUGGGUGACGAGCGGCGGACGGGUGAGUAAUGUCUGGGAAACUGCCUGAUGGAGGGGGAUAACUACUGAAAACGGUAGCUAAUACCGCAUAAUGUCGCAAGACCAAAGAGGGGGACCUUCGGGCCUCUUGCCAUCAGAUGUGCCCAGAUGGGAUUAGCUAGUAGGUGGGGUAACGGCUCACCUAGGCGACGAUCCCUAGCUGGUCUGAGAGGAUGACCAGCCACACUGGAACUGAGACACGGUCCAGACUCCUACGGGAGGCAGCAGUGGGGAAUAUUGCACAAUGGGCGCAAGCCUGAUGCAGCCAUGCCGCGUGUAUGAAGAAGGCCUUCGGGUUGUAAAGUACUUUCAGCGGGGAGGAAGGUGUUGAGGUUAAUAACCUCAGCAAUUGACGUUACCCGCAGAAGAAGCACCGGCUAACUCCGUGCUAGCAGCCGCCGCCG
Molecule: ribosomal RNA, 504 nt
Filed under: uncultured bacterium
Lineage: Bacteria
Description: partial 16S ribosomal RNA
Rfam family: Bacterial small subunit ribosomal RNA
Source: RNAcentral